GUGCGGGAGACCUCAGGAGGAGUAAGUGGCUGGCACAGCAGAAGAACCAACAAUUUGCUAACCUGGGCUUUGGUCCUCCGGAGUGGGGCAAAAUUGCAGGUACCACCCAGACGAACCAAGAUCAGAUCGAAGCAGCCCAACCACGUCGACUGCCAGCGGUGACUGCGAGCACAUCCGCUGCCCGAGAACAUCCUCUACCCCCACCCGGACCUCGAUCUUUCCAUCCUCCCGCCGCGCUUGAGCCCCAGUCCUCCCACCACAGGACCCCUGAGGCUCCCGGUGCCACCUUACCCUACUCAACUUGACCUAGCCCUGGGUCCUGGGAGCACAGGGGAGGGGCGCCGUGCUCGUUUCCCAGGACCAUCUCUCCAUUGCUCCAACCCUGAUUUCAACAUUUCGGCUUCGACAGCGUUUUGAGAGGAAAGUAACAGAGCGCCCCCCCCCCCCACACCUCCCUCUCCCUUCCUCCCUACUCCCUGGCCCUCUGCUGGGGUUAAAAAGGAGAAGUGAAAGGUAUGCAAAUGACAAGCAAAUUGGAAGAUCCUGGAAGAAAGGCAGCUAUAAUAAACAAGACAAAGAGCAAGGACGUGGGGACUAGCCCAGGAGUUUUCACCGGGGGAGAUGGGAAGGAUGAGGCUGGGAGGAGAGCGGGGAUCCAGACGAACAAAAAGCGACCCGGUCCCCCUCGCGGUCCUCUCUCCUGGGAAGAGAGGGCAAGAGAAAGAAGGAAAGGAAGGAAAAGCCUCCUCCCCCUCCAGAAACAGUACACAAAAGGUGACAAGAUCAGCGACACGUCCAGCACUAUCAGCCUCCCCCCUCUCGCCAACACCACCCCCCAGCCACCAGCAGGAAAGAGAAAGAAAGAAAAGCCGAGCGGAUCACUUACUCGUAGGAACUGGGAGAGGCGGAGCGCUGAGUUCCACUGAGGCUUCUGCUUAGAAACUGUUUAGACACUAUUUUAUUAUGAUUCAUUUAAAGAACACCAUUUUCUCCUGGGGAGGGUGGAAAGAUGUUUACACGAGUAUGAGUAAUGGGAGUCUCUUUUCUUUUCUUCUCAUUCAAGAACAAGCCGGUACAAGUGAUUCUGGAAAAGGGGAGGGGACUCGCGAGGGGGAGAAGAUACUUACUCGGUGCAGAGAGCAGUGGGACCGAGCCUUUUUUGCAGGCGGAGAGAGGAAAACACGCGCGCGCACACGCACGAUGGCAAACCUUUCCUACAGAAGCUGCCUGUCUCACCAACAAAGCCACAGGACGAACAGUUCUAUUCAAGGAGGGAACAACAAGAAGGCAAAAAAGGGCAACAUUCCUAGUGAGUUUAGAAGCCACUGAUUUAUGAUUCCAGCAUCACGAAAGGGAAGGAGUUUGAGUUCCUGAAUAACCACUUGGAAGACAGCCUCUAAGGAGAGCUGCCAGACUUGCAUUGGACAGUGACACGAGGGAGAAAUAAACCUAUGUGUGAGAUCACUGAGAUUGUUGUUAUAGCAACUGAAUUGCAUUGCCAAAGAAACCAGGGGCCUGGACUUGAAACGUCUUUCCCUGCUCAAGGCUUAAAACAAUUCUCGAGUUGCCAACCCAUUCCAGACUGAGCGGAAGUCAAGCUUUUAGAGGUGCACUGUUCUGAAGGAAGGGUAGCCCCCCACCACCAAGCCCACUUCAUAUGUGGCCAAGAAGAAGAACAAAAAAUGGAGUCCUUCUUAGAGCCAACUUCACACACAUCCACCCUGCCCAGAAGGCUACUACACCUAGAGAUCCUACAUAAGACUGAUGGAGAAGAUGCUGCAUUCCCCGGGUGUUCUGGACAUUGAUAUGGUGGUGGUGACUGGAUGAGACCUUGCAUUAUCCUCCAUGGGGUGAGCUGGAAGCAAAGAAUUCUAAGAUGAAAGAGCCACACAAUGGAAGAUGCCCAAGCAACACCAGAUGCUCACGAGAUGCCUCCAGGGAACUGAAUCUGAAAGCCUCUGAAGCAGUGGAAAGGGAACGUGCUGGGGAGUCAGGAGACCUGGUCUCUGAAAGAAAAUGGAGCAAAUUCCACCACCCACCCUUUAGUGACACCUACUGUUUCCACUAAUCAGACGAAUGUGAUUCAGUAACAUCUCCCGACCUUCUCCUGUGUGGGAACCCCUGUGUUGGUGUCAUGGAGACAGCUAUGGAGAGACCACAGACUUCAAUCAACAAACCAAAGAACUUCACAACAAAUUGAGGAAGAUUCCCUCUUGGAAAGUCCCCAGGGCCCAGUGUAACUCUGGCCAUACAGGCUGGGCUGUUGGAAGAAUCAGAUGACAGAAUUAGGAGAAGUCUGGCAAGUCUAACGUGGUACCUGGCAUAUUAGGGAGAAUGAAGGUAUAACACCUGGAUUCCUGGAGACUGUAUAAGAACCUGGUGCUCUGGGUGUCAGUGGGGUGCAGUCUUCUGACCCCAGCUCACACUAUCACUUCUUGAAGUUCAAGACCAUCACCAUGAAGAUGGGAUUACAUAAUGAGUGUCUCAAGUUGCCAGUUAAGUACCAAGAAUUUUGAAUCUGACCUGCUACCAUGUUUCAGGAAAAGAGGAGCGUCCACAGGAACUCAAAGCCACCAUUACAGUAUGCUGAUGGCAACAUAGAACAUGAGGAGAGGAAUAUCCAGAAUGAGAACUUGCUGAUCUGAGGGAAAUCCACUAUUGAGUACGCGGGCCUCUCACUGUUGUGGCCUUU
Molecule: non-coding RNA, 2692 nt
Organism: Delphinapterus leucas (beluga whale)
Lineage: Eukaryota; Metazoa; Chordata; Mammalia; Artiodactyla; Monodontidae
Source: RefSeq, a predicted model, not a curated record